GGGAGGCAGCAGUAGGGAAUCUUCCGCAAUGGACGAAAGUCUGACGGAGCAACGCCGCGUGAGUGAUGAAGGCUUUCGGGUCGUAAAACUCUGUUGUUAGGGAAGAACAAGUGCUAGUUGAAUAAGCUGGCACCUUGACGGUACCUAACCAGAAAGCCACGGCUAACUACGUGCCAGCAGCCGCGGUAAUACGUAGGUGGCAAGCGUUAUCCGGAAUUAUUGGGCGUAAAUCGCGCGCAGGUGGUUUCUUAAGUCUGAUGUGAAAGCCCACGGCUCAACCGUGGAGGGUCAUUGGAAACUGGGAGACUUGAGUGCAGAAGAGGAAAGUGGAAUUCCAUGUGUAGCGGUGAAAUGCGUAGAGAUAUGGAGGAACACCAGUGGCGAAGGCGACUUUCUGGUCUGUAACUGACACUGAGGCGCGAAAGCGUGGGGAGCAAACAGGAUUAGAUACCCUGGUAGUCCACGCCGUAAACGAUGAGUGCUAAGUGUUAGAGGGUUU
This 499-nucleotide ribosomal RNA is filed under the name uncultured bacterium. RNAcentral's name for it is "bacterial SSU rRNA". It matches the Rfam family "Bacterial small subunit ribosomal RNA", at positions 343 to 833 of the family's 1533-position model. The record is from RNAcentral.